Molecule: long non-coding RNA, 360 nt
Filed under: Elaeis guineensis (African oil palm)
Lineage: Eukaryota; Viridiplantae; Streptophyta; Magnoliopsida; Arecales; Arecaceae
Description: long non-coding RNA (EGUI_LNC059646)
Source: RNAcentral
AUGAAAGUUGGCCAAGGUCCUUCCCAACUGGUGCACUGCCGCAGCUUUGUCUUCUCAAGAAUACUGUCGGCUUCAAACUUGCAUCAUGCUCGCACCAAAGUCCAGUUGCUUUCGAUCUUACCACCAGAACGACACCAAGAAGAUACUCUUCAGAUGUCAUAUAAUUUAAGAUUUGAUUUUUGGCUCCAACAUAUAGAAAAAUCAAAUCCUAGGGCACACUAGCAAUAUUUGCUAAAAAACUCACUACCCUUCUUGCAACUUUUGCCACUCAAUUUCUCUUUCUUUUCUCUUAAAAUUUUUCUAGAAUUUUUUCUAUAUUUAGUACAUCCCUCCUCUUUGAUUUAAAUCUAAAAUCAUAGC